CGCUGGCGGCACGCCUUAUACAUGCAAGUCGAACGCAGUAGCAAUACUGAGUGGCAGACGGGUGAGUAUGAUGUGGGAAUCUGCCUUUUGGUUUGGAAUAACUUGGGGAAACUUAAGCUAAUACUGGAUAAGCCCUUACGGGGAAAGCUUUAUGCGCCAAAAGAUGAGCCCGCACUUGAUUAGCUAGUUGGUGAGGUAAUUGCUCACCAAGGCAACGAUCAAUAGCUGUUCUUAGAGGAAGACCAGCCACAUUGGGACUGAGACACGGCCCAGACUCCUACGGGAGGCAGCAGUAAGGAAUCUUGCACAAUGGAGGAAACUCUGAUGCAGCGAUGCCGCGUGAGUGAAGAAGGCCUUUGGGUUGUAAAACUCUUUCGUUGGGGAAGAAAAUGACUGUACCCAAAUAAGAAGGUCCGGCUAACUUCGUGCCAGCAGCCGCGGUAAUACGAAGGGACCUAGCGUAGUUCGGAAUUACUGGGCUUAAAGAGCUCGUAGGUGGUUAAAAAAGUUGGUGGUGAAAUCCCAAGGCUCAACCUUGGAACUGCCAUCAAAACUUUUUAGCUAGAGUGUGAUAGAGGAAAGUGGAAUUUCUAGUGUAGAGGUGAAAUUCGUAGAUAUUAGAAAGAACACCAAAAGCGAAGGCAACUUUCUGGAUCACUACUGACACUGAGGAGCGAAAGCAUGGGUAGCGAAGAGGAUUAGAUACCCUCGUAGUCCAUGCUGUAAACGAUGUGUGCUAGACGUUGGAAAUUUAAUUUUCAGUGUCGCAGCAAAAGCGUUAAGCACACCGCCUGGGGAGUACGACCGC
RNAcentral lists this ribosomal RNA (808 nucleotides) under uncultured Pelagibacteraceae bacterium. Its description in RNAcentral is "bacterial SSU rRNA". It matches the Rfam family "Bacterial small subunit ribosomal RNA", at positions 34 to 889 of the family's 1533-position model. The record is from RNAcentral. Lineage: Bacteria; Pseudomonadati; Pseudomonadota; Alphaproteobacteria; Candidatus Pelagibacterales; Candidatus Pelagibacteraceae.